RNAcentral lists this ribosomal RNA (253 nucleotides) under uncultured bacterium. RNAcentral describes it as "partial 16S ribosomal RNA". It matches the Rfam family "Bacterial small subunit ribosomal RNA", at positions 524 to 776 of the family's 1533-position model. The record is from RNAcentral.
UACGUAGGUGGCAAGCGUUGUCCGGAUUUACUGGGCGUAAAGAGCGCGCAGGCGGUCGUUCAAGUCGCGUGUGAAAGCCCCCGGCUCAACUGGGGAGGGUCAUUCGAUACUGUCCGACUCGAAGGCAGGAGAGGGAAGCGGAAUUCCCGGUGUAGUGGUGAAAUGCGUAGAUAUCGGGAGGAACACCAGUGGCGAAGGCGGCUUUCUGGCCUGUUCUUGACGCUGAGGCGCGAAAGCCAGGGGAGCAAACGGG